RNAcentral lists this ribosomal RNA (260 nucleotides) under uncultured bacterium. Its description in RNAcentral is "partial 16S ribosomal RNA". It matches the Rfam family "Bacterial small subunit ribosomal RNA", at positions 793 to 1055 of the family's 1533-position model. The record is from RNAcentral.
GUCCACGCGGUAAACGAUGAAUACUAGGUGUAGGGGUAUCAACUCCCCUGUGCCGGAGCUAACGCAAUAAGUAUUCCGCCUGGGGAGUACGGCCGCAAGGUUGAAACUCAAAGGAAUUGACGGGGCCCGCACAAGCAGCGGAGCAUGUGGUUUAAUUCGAAGCAACGCGAAGAACCUUACCAAGGCUUGACAUCCACUUAAACGCAUGGAAACAUGCGGUCUCUUCGGAGGAAGUGAGACAGGUGGUGCAUGGUUGUCGU